GACGAACGCUGGCGGCGUGCUUAACACAUGCAAGUCGAACGGAAAGGCCCUGCUUUUUUGGUGUGCUCGAGUGGCGAACGGGGGAGUAACACGUGAGUAACCUGCCCUUGACUUUGGUAUAACUUCAGGUAACUGGGGCUAAUACCGUAUAGGAUCUCCUGCUGCAUUGUGGGGGUUGGAAAUUUUCGGCUGUUGGGGAUGGACUCGCGGCUGAUCAGCUUGUUGGUUGGGUAGUUGCUUACCAAGGCUUUGACGGGUAGCCGGCCUGGGAGGGUGACCGGCCACAUUGGGACUGCGAUACGGACCAGACUCCAACGGGAGGCAGCAGUGGGGAAUAUUGCACAAUGAGAGGAAGUCUGAUGCAGAAACGCCGCGUGCGGGAUGACGGCCUUCGGGUUGUAAACCGCUUUCGCCUGUGACGAAGCGUGAGUGACGGUAAUGGGUAAAGAAGCACCGGCUAACUACGUG
RNAcentral lists this ribosomal RNA (468 nucleotides) under uncultured bacterium. RNAcentral's name for it is "partial 16S ribosomal RNA". It matches the Rfam family "Bacterial small subunit ribosomal RNA", at positions 28 to 507 of the family's 1533-position model. The record is from RNAcentral.